UGGGGAAUAUUGCACAAUGGGCGCAAGCCUGAUGCAGCCAUGCCGCGUGUAUGAAGAAGGCCUUCGGGUUGUAAAGUACUUUCAGCGGGGAGGAAGGUGUUGAGGUUAAUAACCUCAGCAAUUGACGUUACCCGCAGAAGAAGCACCGGCUAACUCCGUGCCAGCAGCCGCGGUAAUACGGAGGGGGCAAGCGUUAAUCGGCAUUACUGGGCGUAAAGCGCACGCAGGCGGUCUGUCAAGUCGGAUGUGAAAUCCCCGGGCUCAACCUGGGAACUGCAUUCGAAACUGGCAGGCUAGAGUCUUGUAGAGGGGGGUAGAAUUCCAGGUGUAGCGGUGAAAUGCGUAGAGAUCUGGAGGAAUACCGGUGGCGAAGGCGGCCCCCUGGACAAAGACUGACGCUCAGGUGCGAAAGCGUGGGGAGCAAACA
This 427-nucleotide ribosomal RNA is filed under the name uncultured bacterium. RNAcentral's name for it is "partial 16S ribosomal RNA". It matches the Rfam family "Bacterial small subunit ribosomal RNA", at positions 355 to 774 of the family's 1533-position model. The record is from RNAcentral.